UGUGUGUGUGUGUCUCCCAGCAAUCCUAUGACAUCCUGCUGUUGAUUCUGAUGGUGCUGCUGCUGGUGCAGGCAGUACUUACUUCAGCCACUGUGGUGCACUGUGCAACAUACAAGAGUCGACUCCGCUUGGGGGCUCCAGAGUGUGAGGACAGCUUACAGACUGCGACUCAUUACCAUGAGCAGCAAACACCCAAUGGGACGCUGCAGGACUACGACAAAGACAGAGCCUGGAAGGCGGUUUUGGUCCAAAUGGCCCAGUGAGAAAUCUCGUCUUGUCUACAGAGGUUUGCCUUGCAGAAGGAAAAAUCAGAGAAGGUAACAAUGAAGAAAUCCCCAUAAGAAUGAGAAAAACAAAAGAAAUGAACCAGAAAAGCGGAGCUGAAAAUAAAGAAUGAAAGACUAAUAAGAAAGUCUUUAAAAGCUUUGUUGUUCUUCUUUUUCAUUUGCAUAAAGAUGUUGUGGGCAUUCGUCUUUUCGGUUUAGGGAUUUUUUUCUGUACCAUUAAUUAAUUGUAACUAUUUCUAGAAAGUAUUUUAUCACAAAACAUCAUUUUAAAAAACGUUAUUGUUAAGAAUGUAUAACAGUCAACCGAGGCAGUAAUCAGCAAAUGGUUCUGUGGCUUGAGUCCACAAAUAACUCAUCAUUAGACGUUUGAAGUUACACUUUGAUGCAUACAAUAACUUUUUUUUUCCUCAGUUGAAAGAAUGAUUUCAAAAGUUGUUCUCUAAUGUGAUGCAUAUAUUUAUAAAGAUGUUUACUGAUUUCCUUAUUUAGAAUAAUGACUCAUAAUAUAUCCUAGCAGAUUUUGUUCUUCUUUGUCCUUGUGGUUUGAGAUGUUGCAACUUUUUUAUUACAAAGUAGCUGAUGUGUUAUUGCGGGCACAACGAUGUGAUGCACAGAGAAAGGGCUGAGAUGAUUUUUUCAAAUAAAACUUGUUUGGAAAUUAUUGAG
This is a long non-coding RNA of Poecilia latipinna (sailfin molly), 953 nucleotides long. RefSeq lists it as uncharacterized. The record is from RefSeq and is a predicted model, not a curated record. NCBI's taxonomy places the organism in Eukaryota, Metazoa, Chordata, Actinopteri, Cyprinodontiformes, Poeciliidae. The transcript has 2 exons.